AACGUAGGAGGCGAGCGUUAUCCGGAUUUACUGGGUGUAAAGCGCGUGCAGGCGGUUUAGCAAGUCGUGCGUGAAAGCGCUCUGGCUCAACCGGGCGAGGACGUGCGGAACUGCUGAACUAGAGGCAGGUAGAGGCGUGUGGAAUUCCGGGUGUAGUGGUGAAAUGCGUAGAGAUCCGGAGGAACACCAGUGGCGAAGGCGACGCGCUGGGCCUGACCUGACGCUAAGACGCGAAAGCAUGGGGAGCGAACGGGAUUAGAAACCCCGGUAGUCCAUGCUGUAAACGAUGCGGACUAGGUGUGGCGGUGAGGAGCCGCUGUGCCGCAGCCAACGUGAUAAGUCCGCCACCUGGGGAGUACGGCCGCAAGGUUAAAACUCAAAGGAAUUGACGGGGGCCCGCACAAGCAGCGGAGCGUGUGGUUUAAUUCGAGGCUACACGAAGAACCUUACCUGGGCUUGACAUGGCGGUAGUAGCGACCUGAAAGGGGAGCGACCUUCGGGAGCCGUCACAGGUGCUGCAUGGCU
This 525-nucleotide ribosomal RNA is filed under the name uncultured bacterium. RNAcentral's name for it is "bacterial SSU rRNA". It matches the Rfam family "Bacterial small subunit ribosomal RNA", at positions 524 to 1050 of the family's 1533-position model. The record is from RNAcentral.